This 237-nucleotide unclassified non-coding RNA is filed under the name Limulus polyphemus (Atlantic horseshoe crab). RNAcentral's name for it is "multivesicular body subunit 12B-like, transcript variant X6". The record is from RNAcentral. Lineage: Eukaryota; Metazoa; Arthropoda; Merostomata; Xiphosura; Limulidae.
UUAGUUUAUGUCUACAUACAUAACUAACUAUUAUAAAGUGUGUGUGAAUAAUAAUCGCGCAAGUUCACGGACAUUCACAAAUUGCAGUCAAAUAUUGCUAAUGUAACUAACGAUAGAAUUAUUACUUUACUAAACUUAAAAUUUCUGUUUUUUGUUGUUUUUUUAAGAUUGAGAUAGAACACCGACGUUAGAUUAAGAAAUUUUGGGACUGAGCUCAAACUUAGAUUCAAAAUCAAA